This 67-nucleotide transfer RNA is filed under the name Polyascus gregaria. RNAcentral's name for it is "tRNA-Ala". The record is from RNAcentral. Lineage: Eukaryota; Metazoa; Arthropoda; Thecostraca; Sacculinidae.
AAUUUAUUAUUUUUUAUUUACAAUAAAAAGUUGCCUUUAUAGGAUUAUUUGAUUAUAUUAUAAAUUA